UGGUACCAUUAACAGCAGGCUACCAGCUCCACCGAAGAAAAUUAUUUACCAUGGUGCUCACGGAACGACCAUAAGGACGGGUGACGAACUGCGUAACACCGGUAACGUAACAGCUGCGUAAUUAUUACGUAUCGCACAAAUGGAUGUCAUUAAGAAAACUGUUGUUUUAACUUAAGAAAAUAUAACAAAAAACUUGCUUUUUUUUGUAAUAAGAGCCCCGAAGGGCUGGAAACUUUAGUACAACCGCAAAGUACCGCUACCGGACUCGAAAAGUACUUUGACAACUGCUACCGCAGUUCACCUCUGGGCGGAUUAAUUUUUUUUAUGUGUUGCUGGCCCAGCAAAAGGCAAACGUUAAGAAAAGGAGAGUAUCCAAGGAUGGAAAA
Anthonomus grandis grandis is the source of this 386-nucleotide long non-coding RNA. RefSeq lists it as uncharacterized. Lineage: Eukaryota; Metazoa; Arthropoda; Insecta; Coleoptera; Curculionidae. The transcript has 3 exons. The record is from RefSeq and is a predicted model, not a curated record.